Molecule: ribosomal RNA, 300 nt
Filed under: uncultured Pseudomonas sp.
Lineage: Bacteria; Pseudomonadati; Pseudomonadota; Gammaproteobacteria; Pseudomonadales; Pseudomonadaceae
Description: bacterial SSU rRNA
Rfam family: Bacterial small subunit ribosomal RNA
Source: RNAcentral
ACCUGGGAAUCUGCCUGAUAGUGGGGGAUAACGUUCGGAAACGGACGCUAAUACCGCAUACGUCCUACGGGAGAAAGCAGGGGAUCUUCGGACCUUGCGCUAUCAGAUGAGCCCAGGUCGGAUUAGCUUGUUGGUGAGGUAACGGCUCACCAAGGCUGCGAUCCGUAACUGGUCUGAGAGGAUGAUCAGUCACACUGGAACUGAGACACGGUCCAGACUCCUACGGGAGGCAGCAGUGGGGAAUAUUGGACAAUGGGGGAAACCCUGAUCCAGCCAUGCCGCGUGUGUGAAGAAGGUCUU